GCUGGGGUUCCACCUUGCUUGUGCAGCCCGCCGUUGCGUCUGGUUGGGUGUCUUUAAACGGAUGCCCAUCUUUGGACGUGACCCCUUUACCUUGAACAAAUCGGAGUGCUCAAAGCAGGCUCCUUUCGCUCGAACGGUAGCGCAUGGAAAUAAUGGAAAAGGACCCGCUUUCUUUUCUGUUGGUCUAACGAAAGCAGGUAAUGAUCAAGAGGGACGGAUGGGGGCAGAGGUAUGGCCCGGCGAGAGGUGAAAUUCUUGGACCCCGGCCCAGACCCUCGAGAGCGAGAGCAUCUGCCAAAGAUGUUUUCCAUUGAUCAAGAACGAAAGUCGCGGGAUCGAAGCGGAUUAGAGACCCGGACGUAGUCGCGACCGUAAACGAUGCCAACCGGGAAUUUGACAGUGUUACUUUCAUGACCUGCCAAGCGCCCGACCCGGGAAACCGAGAGUUUUUGGGUUCCGGGGGGAGUAUGGUUGCAAAGCUGAAACUUAAAGGAAUUGACGGAAGGGCACCACCAGGAGUGGAGCCUGCGGCUUAAUUUGACUCAACACGGGGAACCUCACCCGGCCCGGACACCGCGGGGAUUGACAGACUGAGAGCUCUUUCUCGAUUCGGUGGGUGGUGGUGCAUGGCCGUUCUUAGUUGGUGGAGCGAUCUGUCUGGUUAAUUCCGAUAACGAACGAGACCCCAUCCUGCUAACUAGCCCUCGGGUCCGGCUUCUGGCGGGCCCGAUGGAAUGACUCGCUUCUUAGAGGGACUCGCGGCGCCUAGCCGCACGAAGGGGGGCGAUAACAGGUCUGUGAUGCCCUUAGAUGUUCGGGGCUGCACGCGCGCUACACUGAAGGCACCAGCGUGCGCUUUGUCCGUUCCCUGCCUGAAAAGGCCGGGUAACCCGCUGAACCGCCUUCGUGCCUGGGAUAGGGAUUUGCAAUUAUCUCUCUUGAACGAGGAAUUCCCAGUAGGCGCGAGUCAUCAGCUCGCGUCGAUUACGUCCCUGCCCUUUGUACACACCGCCCGUCGCUACUACCGAU
RNAcentral lists this ribosomal RNA (1029 nucleotides) under Spadella cephaloptera. RNAcentral describes it as "SSU rRNA". It matches the Rfam family "Eukaryotic small subunit ribosomal RNA", at positions 666 to 1689 of the family's 1831-position model. The record is from RNAcentral. Lineage: Eukaryota; Metazoa; Chaetognatha; Sagittoidea; Phragmophora; Spadellidae.